RNAcentral lists this ribosomal RNA (460 nucleotides) under uncultured bacterium. RNAcentral describes it as "partial 16S ribosomal RNA". It matches the Rfam family "Bacterial small subunit ribosomal RNA", at positions 338 to 795 of the family's 1533-position model. The record is from RNAcentral.
CCUACGGGGGGCAGCAGUGAGGAAUAUUGGGCAAUGGACGAGAGUCUGAACCAGCCAAGUAGCGUGAAGGAUGACUGCCCUAUGGGUUGUAAACUUCUUUUAUAUGGGAAUAAAAUGUUCCACGUGUGGGAUUUUGUAUGUACCAUAUGAAUAAGGAUCGGCUAACUCCGUGCCAGCAGCCGCGGUAAUACGGAGGAUCCGAGCGUUAUCCGGAUUUAUUGGGUUUAAAGGGAGCGUAGGUGGAUUGUUAAGUCAGUUGUGAAAGUUUGCGGCUCAACCGUAAAAUUGCAGUUGAAACUGGCAGUCUUGAGUACAGUAGAGGUGGGCGGAAUUCGUGGUGUAGCGGUGAAAUGCUUAGAUAUCACGAAGAACUCCGAUUGCGAAGGCAGUUCACUGGACUGCAACUGACACUGAGGCUCGAAAGUGUGGGUAUCAAACAGGAUUAGAUACCCGUGUAGUC